This is a long non-coding RNA of Vespa velutina, 556 nucleotides long. RefSeq lists it as uncharacterized. The transcript is spliced from 3 exons. NCBI's taxonomy places the organism in Eukaryota, Metazoa, Arthropoda, Insecta, Hymenoptera, Vespidae. The record is from RefSeq and is a predicted model, not a curated record.
CCAACGACCUUGGCCUUGCCCGAAUAAGACGCGGCCUUGAGGAGCGAUCGAUGCGACCGGCAGCCGGUGCAACGGUGGAACUGGAUCCAAACUGGUUCUCACGUGCUCUCUUGGUUUAGACGCAUCGCGUGCAUCGACUGCGCCUGCCUUUUACUCUUCUCUCUCUCUCUCUCUCUCUCUCUCUGUCUUUCUCUCUGUCUUUCUCUGUCUUUCUCUCUGUCUUUCUCUUUGUCUUUCUCUUCAUUUCGUCUCGUUCUUUAUUCUCGCUCGUUGAACUGACGAACCCUCUUACGGUGCAUCGUACGUGUACGAGAAGCAAACGACGCCAUUAUCUCGUGAAAAGCAUACCGCUCUCGUGUAGUUACGACAUCGUUCCGAUUCUUCGAAAGUUUCUCACGCCAGUUCGUACAUUCUUGCGAUUCAACGCUAUCUCCAAUCAACAUAGAUUAGACAAAAGGUGACGAUGGAAGAGAGAACCUAGCGGAUAAUCUAAGAGAGAAGGAAAAAAAAAAAUAAAAGAAGGACGGAAGAAAGGAAGGAAAAAAAUGGUUCCUUU